AUGUUCCAUUUUAAUAUAUGUGAAAGUACCGUCUUGGUGGAAAACAUGCAGAUAAACGGCCGUGCGCAGGAUCCAGGUCGAACCAUUUCGCUGACUCUGCUGGACAACUACGACUAUUGGGUGAUUUUGGAACCGGCCCAGCAGCGGCUGUAUCUCAACAGCACAGGACGCGUUCUGGACAGAGACCCCCCAAACUACAUCAUGACCAUAGUGGUGCAAGUCCAGUGCACCAACGAGCUGGUUGGUACUGUUAUUUUCCACGAGGUGCGGAUCGUCGUGAGGGACAGGAACGACAACAUCCCCCGCUUUCAGCAGCCGCGUUACUAUGUUGCCGUCAAUGAGCUCACGCCAGUCGGAACAACGAUUUUCACUGGAUUCUCAGGGAAUAAUGGCGCCACCGAUAUCGACGAUGGACCUAAUGGACACAUAGAAUACAGCGUCCUUUACAACCCCAAUGACCCGGAGUCCAACAAGACAGUAAGCGUUGGAAACACGCUUUCAGGGCACAUUAUCCUGGCAGAGAGGCUAAACUACGAGGAGAGGACACGUUACCUGGUUGUUGUCCAAGCUAAUGACCGAGCACCUUACCCACCCAACAGGCGAACGGCUACAACCACCCUGACCGUGGACGUUCUGGAUGGAGACGACCUGGGCCCCAUGUUCCUGCCGUGUGUGUUAGUGAACAACACGCGUGACUGCAACCCGCUCUCCUACCGCGCUGCUAUCCCUGAAUUCACUGAACCGAGCAAAUUGAACCCACUGAACGUGACCCCCCCGAUUCGUGCCGUGGACAUGGACAGGAACAUCCAGCCUCCAUCCAACAGACCCGGAAUUCUGUACUACAUCCUGGUUGGUCACCCAGCCACAUUUGCAGAGUAUUUCUCCCUGAACAAAACCACAGCGGAGCUGCGCGUUCUGCAACCAAUCAACAGAGACUUAUAUCAGAGGUUCACCCUCAUCAUCAAGGCUGAGCAGGACAACGGACACCCCCUCCCGGCCUACGCCGACCUCAUCAUCGAGAUCCUGGAUGAGAACAACCAGGCGCCGUACUUCCAGCUCGCCACCUAUCAGGGAUACGUGAGUGAGUCUUCGCCGGUGGGUACAACCAUCUCAGGCAGCUCAAACCUGACGACGCCCCUGGAAAUCAUCGCACUGGACAAUGACAUCGAGGAGACAAAAGACCCGUUGGUGAAGAUUUCCCUCGACAACUACGCCACGAUAUUUGGUGUGACUCCGACUGGCAUAGUGCGCUACCUGAGACUGGUUACACCUGUGGACCGGGAGAAGCAGAUGGCUUACACGUUCACGAUGGUGGCAUCGGAUGGUGUCCAGCAGAGCACCCCAGUGACUGUCAACAUCCUGGUCAUCGACGCCAAUGACAACACGCCCACAUUCGCCAAGGCCUCCUACAAUGUUGAAGUCUUCACCGACAUGCAGCCGGGGGAAACCGUUCUCCAGUUAACUGCAGCGGAUGCUGAUGAAGGAUUGAACGGCCUGGUGACGUAUGAGAUAUUGGCCGGGGCCCAGGGACACUUCAUCAUUAAUAAUCGCACAGGUCGCCUCACCGUGGCGCCAGGCGUGGCUUUAACUGUGGGACAGUCUUAUGCACUGACUGUCAAGGCCUCAGACGGGGCUCCAGAAACACAGCGAAGGAGCUCCAUCACCACCGUCUACAUUGAGGUUUUGCCACCCAAUAACCAGAGCCCGCCGCGCUUCCCCCUCCUCACCUACAGCCUGGAGGUCAGCGAGGCCAUGAGGAUCGGAGCGAUCCUGCUCAAUCUGCAGGCCACAGACAGAGAAAAUGACCCCAUCACUUACCGCAUUGUGAGCGGAGAUUCCCAGAAGGUGUUCAACCUCUCUGAAACGAUCGGGCUGUUACUUCUGGGGAAGCCUCUGGACAGAGAGAGCACAGAUCAGUACCGCCUGAUCGUCACAGCCUCCGAUGGGAACCCUGGAGGGACUUCCACCACCACGGUCGACAUUGUCGUCACAGAUGUCAACGACAACGAUCCCAAAUUUGACUUCGCCAUACCUGUUAACUUCACCGUCCGAGAAGAAGAGGCCGACCUUUUUGUGGGCCUUGUGAGGGCUACAGAUCCAGAUGCGGGGGCUAACGGCCAGGUGGGCUACCGGAUCAUAAAUCACCCCGACUUGUUUGUGAUCAGUGCCAAUGGCAGCAUCUACACGAAGGUGCCUCUGGACCGGGAGCUCCGGAGCCAGUAUGAUCUUGUUGUGGAGGCGUCGGACGGGGCUGUGGAUCCACGGCGGACCACCUUGACCCUCUCCAUCCAGGUCACAGAUAUUGAUGACAGCAGUCCGGUUUUCUCCCAGCAAAAUUACGUGGUGAAUGUUCCAGAAAACACGCCUGUGGGGACCGUCGUAUUGAAGCUAAGCGCAACAGACUCGGACCUCUUCUCCAAUGUCACCUACCGGAUCAGGACUGAGGCAGCCCGACAGCUGUUUUCUCUGAACCCUAUUACAGGGGAGCUGGCUGUGCUGCAGACGCUGGAUUUUGAGGACCUGGCAGCUUUGGGCAUUGGGACCUCUUAUGCUUUCCAGGUAGAGGCUAUAGACCAAGGAGGGAUCAUGCCCCCGGGGCAGGCAACUGUCACAGUCCGCAUCACGGACAUGAAUGACUUCUCACCCGUGUUUAGCCAAGACCUGUACAAAGGCAUGGUGGCACCCAAUGCAGAGAAAGGAACGGUGAUAACAACGGUGUUAGCGGAGGAUCGGGACCCUCCGGAUACCCCAGCCAGCUUUGUCCGCUACCGAGUUGACCUGGACAGGUCUCCCUACAGCGGCAGCAUCUUUGACGUGGAGGAGGAAACGGGAAGAAUCGUCACUAAGGUCAACCUCAACGAAGAACCCAGCGUCACCUUUAAGUUGUUUAUCAUCGCCUUUGACGACGGCGAACCGGUGAAGACCAACAGCACUCUGGUGGAGAUCACUGUCCUCCAGCCCUCUCGGAUCCCCAUCUUCACCCAGGAGGAGUACAGGUUUCCUCCAGUAAGCGAGCUGGCUCCAUUCGGCACCCCGGUGGGGACGGUUCUGGCUGCUGCUGUCAAUCAAAGCAUCUUCUACUCCAUCGUAGGAGGCAAUGAUUUAGGUCAUUUUCAGAUCAACAACAAGACAGGCGUCAUCUCCACAGCCAAACCUCUGGACUACGAAAAUGUGACAAGCUACGUCCUGCGGGUGCAGGCGGACUCCAUGGAGGUCGUCAUGUCCAACCUGCGCGUUCCCUCUAAAACUAACACAGCCAAGGUGUUCAUCGAAGUGCAGGAUGAGAAUGACCACCCACCCGUCUUCUCCAGGAAGCUCUACAUCGGCGGCGUGACAGAGGACACCAAGAUCUUCAGCUCCGUGCUCAAGAUAGUGGCCACUGACAAGGACACCGGGAAUUACAGCGAGAUGGCGUACCGCCUGAUUAUUCCGCCCACCCAAGAGGGCCAGGACAGCUUCGUCAUCGAGACCUACACAGGCAUCAUCAAGUCGGCCAUCAUGUUUCGGAACAUGCGCAGGUCCUACUUCAAGUUUCAAGUCAUUGCCACCGACGACUACGGAGCAGGGCUCAGCAGCAGUGCUGAAGUGGUGGUUUCUGUGGUCAACGCCUUGGACAUGCAAGUUGUUGUGUCCACCGUGCCGCCCACUUUAGUGGAGGAGAAGAAGGACGAGCUCAUUAGUAUUUUGGAGCGCCACGUCCAGGACCAGAUUCCGGGUGCCAAGGUGAUAGUAGAGUCCAUCGGCCCCCGUCGUCAUGGCGAUGGCUUUGAGCUAGAGGACUACACUAAAUCCGACCUGAUGGUCUACGCCAUUGACCCCCUCACAAACAGGGCCAUCUCUCCCAAGGAGCUCUUCAAAUUCCUCGAUGGCAACGUCCUGGAAAUCAAUAAGGAGUUCCAGCCGUAUCUGGGGGAAGGCGGCCGCAUCCUGGAGAUCCGCUCCCCCGACAUCGUGGCCAGCGUGAAGAAGGCCGCCCAGGCCGUGGGCUACACGGAGGGGGCGCUCCUGGCCCUGGCCAUCAUCAUCAUCCUCUGCUGCAUCCCCGCCAUCCUCAUCGUCAUGGUCACCUACAAACAGCGACAGGCAGAGUGUGCCAAAACUGCCCGGAUUCAGAUGGCUUUACCACCAGGAGGGAAAGCACCUGCAGCCGCUGCCCCCACCGCAAACCUGUAUGAGGAGCUGGGCGACGGUAGCAUGUUUUUUCUUCUUCUUCACCUCCUCUUUUACUGUGGCAGGGCUAAAAAGUCUGUCAUUGAAGAGGCAGAGCGCCAACGGCUCCUUAGCACAUUCGCCUGUCGCGCCAUCACAGCCCGCAGCAACGGAGCGCUGCAGGUUAAUUUGCCCAGGUCGGAAAGCAACGUGACGUUCCUUUCCGACUGCAACCCACUCACCACUCGCAACCCCCUCUAUGAUGACAGCAGUCCCAGCAGUCCUGAUGUCUUUGCACAGAGGCGCGGCUUGCCUGAAAAGCGAUGGACCGCCUCCCCUUCCUAUUCACCCGGGUCGGGGGGGUUCAGAUCAGUGCCUGCUCGCAUUCACAGUGGACUGCCGGGUUGCGAGGGGCCAAGGAGGCAAGCUCUUAUGGACCCAGACGAUUGGGAGGCAUCAGAAGCCAGGAAAAGGCUGCAGAGUUUCAAUACACUUCAGCUAGGAGACAACACAGACACCAAGCUGUCCGUCCGUCAGCAGGCCAAGCAGUUUGAGCAGAAGGUCAUCCAGGAUCAAACCCUCAGGCAGAGCAGAGACUCCCCCAGUUCUCUUCCAUCCAUCAUUUUCAGGAACAGAAACAGUGACUCUGUAGUAGAGCUGCCCUCAGAAACCCUGCUCUCCAUCCUGGACCACAGCACGGCAACUGUGGGCAGGGACGCCCCACCAGUGGUUGUCGUAUCCCAGGACCCACCAGAGGAUCCUCCGCCUCCCCCUCCAGAACGGCCACCUCCCUCCUCCCCAAAAACAUCCCCUCCUUAUAGUCUGCCAUCUACCCCUCCUUUACCCUCCCAUCUCCACAAACCCGAGUGCCCCCUUCAGCCGCCUCCUGGAUCCAGCAGCCAGGGGUCCCCCCCAACACCACCACCGCUCCCCCCACCACUCUCCCCAGCGAGCAAUCAGCUGUGCCAGCUUCUCCAGUUUGUUCCAGCAUCUCUGCCGCCGGUGUCCUCACUGCGUCCCGUCUCGCAGCGAAAACACCCCCCUCCUCCUGAGUCAUCUCAAACUGACUGUGGGAGGAAAAAGGAGCUCAAAGGGAUCCUGAAAAACAUCCAGAAUCUCGCUGACAUAGAGAGGUCCAUUGCCAACAUGUACAGCCAAGUAGACAAAAACUACAAGGUGCCCAAGCUUCAUCCUAAACCACAAGUGACUGAAGAAUCCGAAGACACCGAAAGUACUCAAAGAAAUACACACUGCGAUAUUGAAAUCACCAUUUCAUGCAAAUAA
This is a long non-coding RNA of Takifugu rubripes (torafugu), 5433 nucleotides long. The record is from Ensembl. NCBI's taxonomy places the organism in Eukaryota, Metazoa, Chordata, Actinopteri, Tetraodontiformes, Tetraodontidae.